UGCCAAUGGCACUGCCCGGUAGCUAAAUGCGGAAGAGAUAAGUGCUGAAAGCAUCUAAGCACGAAACUUGCCCCGAGAUGAGUUCUCCCUGAGACCUUGAGUCUCCUGAAGGAACGUUGAAGACGACGACGUUGAUAGGUCGGGUGUGUAAGCGCAGCGAUGCGUUGAGCUAACCGAUACUAAUGAACCGUGAGGCUUAACCUU
RNAcentral lists this ribosomal RNA (204 nucleotides) under Enterobacter hormaechei. RNAcentral describes it as "partial 23S ribosomal RNA". It matches the Rfam family "Bacterial large subunit ribosomal RNA", at positions 2727 to 2925 of the family's 2925-position model. RNAcentral also lists the same sequence under 2 other names. Lineage: Bacteria; Pseudomonadati; Pseudomonadota; Gammaproteobacteria; Enterobacterales; Enterobacteriaceae. The record is from RNAcentral.